Molecule: ribosomal RNA, 780 nt
Filed under: uncultured bacterium
Lineage: Bacteria
Description: partial 16S ribosomal RNA
Source: RNAcentral
AUACUUGCUGACGUCUGGCAUUCAUCGUUUACGGUGUGGACUACCAGGGUAUCUAAUCCUGUUUGCUCCCCACACUUUCGCACCUCAGCGUCAGUAUCGAGCCAGUAAGCCGCCUUCGCCACUGGUGUUCCUCCAAAUAUCUACGAAUUUCACCUCUACACUUGGAAUUCCACUUACCUCUCUCGAACUCAAGACUAGCAGUAUUAAAGGCAGUUCCAGGGUUGAGCCCUGGGAUUUCACCUCUAACUUACUAAUCCGCCUACGUGCGCUUUACGCCCAGUAAUUCCGAACAACGCUAACCCCCUCCGUAUUACCGCGGCUGCUGGCACGGAGUUAGCCGGGGUUUCUUUACCAGAUACUGUCAUUAUCAUCUCUGGCGAAAGUGCUUUACGACCCUAAGGCCUUCAUCACACACGCGGCAUGGCUAGAUCAGGGUUUCCCCCAUUGUCUAAGAUUCCCUACUGCUGCCUCCCGUAGGAGUCUGGGCCGUGUCUCAGUCCCAGUGUGGCUGAUCAUCCUCUCAAACCAGCUAUAGAUCGUAGGCUUGGUAGGCCAUUACCCCACCAGCAAACUAAUCUAGUGCAGGCUCAUCCAAUGGUGCAUAAAGCUUUCUCUGUAAAGACUUAUCCGGUAUUAGCACAAGUUUCCUCGUGUUAUUCCAGGCCAAAGGGUAGAUACCCACAUGUUACUCACCCGUCUGCCACUAAGUAUUGCUACUUCGUUCGACUUGCAUGUGUUAGGUGUGCCGCCAGCGUACGUUCUGAGCCAGGAUCAAACUCU